RNAcentral lists this ribosomal RNA (497 nucleotides) under uncultured bacterium. RNAcentral describes it as "partial 16S ribosomal RNA". It matches the Rfam family "Bacterial small subunit ribosomal RNA", at positions 28 to 507 of the family's 1533-position model. The record is from RNAcentral.
GAUGAACGCUGGCGGCGUGCCUAAUACAUGCAAGUCGAGCGAACAGACGAGGCGCUUGCUCCUCUGACGUUAGCGGCGGACGGGUGAGUAACACGUGGAUAACCUACCUAUAAGACUGGGAUAACUUCGGGAAACCGGAGCUAAUACCGGAUAAUAUAUUGAACCGCAUGGUUCAAUAGUGAAAGACGGUUUUGCUGUCACUUAUAGAUGGAUCCGCGCCGCAUUAGCUAGUUGGUAAGGUAACGGCUUACCAAGGCGACGAUGCGUAGCCGACCUGAGAGGGUGAUCGGCCACACUGGAACUGAGACACGGUCCAGACUCCUACGGGAGGCGGCAGUAGGGAAUCUUCCGCAAUGGGCGAAAGCCUGACGGAGCAACGCCGCGUGAGUGAUGAAGGUCUUCGGAUCGUAAAGCUCUUUUAUUAGGGAAGAACAAAUGUGUAAGUAACUAUGCCCGUCUUGACGGUACCUAAUCAGAAAGCCACGGCUAACUACGUG